Long non-coding RNA from Pangasianodon hypophthalmus (striped catfish), 1217 nucleotides. RefSeq lists it as uncharacterized. The record is from RefSeq and is a predicted model, not a curated record. Lineage: Eukaryota; Metazoa; Chordata; Actinopteri; Siluriformes; Pangasiidae. The transcript is spliced from 3 exons.
AGAAACUUGGUGUUUUCCCGCCAGAACGCCGCCGCUGUUAAGCUCCAGUGUGACGUAAAGCUCAGGCUGCCUGUGACCGCAUAACAGCUGCUGAAUAAAUCUGCUCAGGUUCCCUUUUUUAAAGACUGGAGUGCGAGUCAGUGUUUGGAUGGACCUCCUGUCAGGUACUCCUCAACACCCCUUCCCCCUGCCCCAUCUGUUCAGAGAGAAGAAACCUGUAAUCUCACAGCACAGCCGGAUAAUUCUUGUGUUAACAAAAACAAAAAACUAUGAUGUGCUUUGGAAAAAACCUAACAACAAGAAAUGCAAUAAAAGAAGGAUAAAUACUGACGGUGCUUUUCCAAGAUGGAGAUGUAAUUUAUUUCUGGUGAAGGGGUUGAAGCUGGACACAGAAUCGGCGAUGUUGCCCCUGGACAGGACCUGUCUGACUAGAUUUGGGGCUUCAUUUGGGCAGACCUUUCAGAUCUUGUUGAGGAAUAUAUUCUGGCUAGUAGCACUCAGAGUCCAUUCACCAAUGGGAGACCAAGGCGAAAAUGGUUUUACUGUUUUAUGCAAGAUCAUCCUGAGCUGACCAUUCGCAACUCAGAACAGUUUCGUGUGGCUAGAGCGAGGACCUCAGCUGAUACUGGCAUAUUCCCCCACUGGUUUGAGAUGCGCAAAAAGGAAUUGGAUCUUGCAGAUAUCAUAACAAAACCCCAAAAUAUCUACAAUGUAGAUGAGAUAGGCUUUGUCACUGAUGCAUCCUCAGAAAAUGUCCUGGUUUCAAAGGGAUAUGAGAAUGUGUACCAGAGUACCAGUGGAAGAGAAUAGAUAACUGUCUGUAUCACUUGAAAUGCUGCUGGGCAGAUCUUGCCCCCAUACGAUGCCAAGUGGAAACAUUUGUACAGUUCUUGGUGUCAAGGUGGUCUAGACUGCACCUGCUUUGCCAUGACAGCCCAUGGCUGGAUGGAGAAACCUCUUCCUAAAAGAAGCUGAAUUUUAAUAUUUGAUGGCCAUAUCUCCCGUGUGUUCCCGAGCCUUGCCGUGAAGGCAAAAGAAAAUAACGUAGUGCUCCUUUGUCUCCCCUCUCACCUGAUGCAUGUGCUGUGCUCUUUGGAUAAGCCAGUGUUCAGGGAAAUUAAUUGUUUGAAAACAAUAAAAUUUUAUGUCAAUAAAUCCUAAUGUGGGUUUAUCUGGAACACACACAGGCUUAAAUGGUGCCACAGUACCAGUUAAGC